Molecule: ribosomal RNA, 548 nt
Filed under: Anemone cylindrica
Lineage: Eukaryota; Viridiplantae; Streptophyta; Magnoliopsida; Ranunculales; Ranunculaceae
Description: eukaryotic LSU rRNA
Rfam family: 5.8S ribosomal RNA (bases 178-334)
Source: RNAcentral
CGAUACCUGCUCAGCAGAACGACCCGUGAACACGUGAAAAAAACCUACCAUGCCCGGGGAGCGGGCUCCCGCCAGCGACCCGGUGCUGCAACAAAAUUCGGCGCAACUGGCGUCAAGGAAAACUCACCGGAAGCAAGGCGUCGGCUCGUUCGGCGCCGUGUGUCCGAAUACUCAAACGACUCUCGGCAACGGAUAUCUCGGCUCUUGCAUCGAUGAAGAACGUAGCGAAAUGCGAUACUUGGUGUGAAUUGCAGAAUCCCGUGAACCAUCGAGUCUUUGAACGCAAGUUGCGCCCGAAGCCUUUUUGGCCGAGGGCACGCCUGCCUGGGCGUCACACACAGCGUCGCCCCCCACCAAUCCCUUUGGAUGGGAUGGGGAUGGGGGCGGAUAUUGGCCCCCCGAGCCCUCUGGGGCACGGUCGGCAUAAAUGUUGGUCCCCGGCGGCGAGCGUCGCGGUCAGCGGUGGUUGUAUACUCAUCCCCCGAGGACAAAAUGACGCGCAUGCCUCGUCGCUCGUCGGGCAGAGCAAACCCCAGGGAGCACGGCUU